CGCAUCUGUGCAUGCAGCAUAUCAAUAAGCGGAGGAAAAGAAACUAACAAGGAUUCCCCUAGUAACGGCGAGUGAAGCGGGAAGAGCUCAAAUUUGAAAUCUUAAAGGGUUUCCCUUUACGAAUUGUAGUUUAAAGAAGUGUUUUCUGUUGAGGUUUUGGUAAAAGUUCUUUGGAAUAGGACAUCAUAGAGGGUGAGAAUCCCGUAUUUGACCUUUACUUUCAACUUUGUGAUACACUUUCAAAGAGUCGGAUUGUUUGGGAAUGCAGUCCAAAAUGGGUGGUAAAUUUCAUCUAAAGCUAAAUAUUGGCGAGAGACCGAUAGCGAACAAGUACCGUGAGGGAAAGAUGAAAAGAACUUUGAAAAGAGAGUUAAACAGUACGUGAAAUUGUCAAAAGGGAAGCGUUUGACACCAGUGUUGUUUUUACUGAAAAUCAAUUAAAGAACUGUUUAUGCUAAGCUGUUUAGACUUUAUCAGCUAACUGGUUUAGUUUUGAGCUUUUCUUUAAUGCACUUUUCAGUUAACAAGUCAACAUCAAUUUCUUUUGCUGUAAAAAAGCUUGAGGAAGGUGGCUUGAGAUUCGUCUUAAGUGUUUAUAGCCUCUUGCCUAUGCAGUCGGAGAGAUUGAGGUCUGCAGCGUAGAUCCUUCGGGGCUAAAUGCAUUUGUGCUAAGUUAUAAGCAUUUUAUAGACAACUUGUUGACUAUGAUUUGUCUUGUAGCUUACUCGCUUAUGUUAUUUUACCUACGCUUAGGAUGUUGAACGCGCACAGAGUCUC
This 777-nucleotide ribosomal RNA is filed under the name uncultured Neocallimastigales. Its description in RNAcentral is "partial large subunit ribosomal RNA". It matches the Rfam family "Eukaryotic large subunit ribosomal RNA", at positions 26 to 641 of the family's 3401-position model. The record is from RNAcentral. Lineage: Eukaryota; Fungi; Neocallimastigomycota; Neocallimastigomycetes; Neocallimastigales.